This 498-nucleotide ribosomal RNA is filed under the name uncultured Pseudomonadota bacterium. RNAcentral describes it as "bacterial SSU rRNA". It matches the Rfam family "Bacterial small subunit ribosomal RNA", at positions 30 to 505 of the family's 1533-position model. The record is from RNAcentral. Lineage: Bacteria; Pseudomonadati; Pseudomonadota.
UGAACGCUGGCGGUAGGCUUAACACAUGCAAGUCGAGCGGUAACAGACAUUUUGAUUUUGCUUGCAAAAUCUCGUGCUGACGAGCGGCGAACGGGUGAGUAACGCGUAGGAAUCUACCUAGUAGAAGGGGAUAGCCCGAGGAAACUCGGAUUAAUACCGUAUACGUCCUAAGGGAGAAAGAGGGCUUAGCUUUGAUGCUCUCGCUAUUAGAUGAGCCUGCGUAAGAUUAGCUUGUUGGUGAGGUAAAGGCUCACCAAGGCGACGAUCUUUAGCUGGUCUGAGAGGACGAUCAGCCACAUUGGGACUGAGACACGGCCCAGACUCCUACGGGAGGCAGCAGUGGGGAAUAUUGGACAAUGGGCGCAAGCCUGAUCCAGCCAUACCGCGUGUGUGAAGAAGGCCUUCGGGUUGUAAAGCACUUUAAGUAAGGAAGAAAAGAGUGUUGCUAAUACCAAUACUCCGUGACAUUACUUACAGAAUAAGGACCGGCUAAUUCCG